GGCUUCUUAGCUCAGCUCUUAUAGCGCUUGUUUCAUUUAGGUGCGAUGUUUCUGUUGCUGGUUCGAAUCCAGCCGAAGCUC
Molecule: non-coding RNA, 81 nt
Organism: Paragonimus kellicotti
Lineage: Eukaryota; Metazoa; Platyhelminthes; Trematoda; Plagiorchiida; Troglotrematidae
Source: the annotation of a GenBank genome assembly